Long non-coding RNA from Clupea harengus (Atlantic herring), 609 nucleotides. RefSeq lists it as uncharacterized. The record is from RefSeq and is a predicted model, not a curated record. Lineage: Eukaryota; Metazoa; Chordata; Actinopteri; Clupeiformes; Clupeidae. The transcript has 2 exons.
CCUGCAUUCUGACAGCGCUUCAAUGGAGACUAGCAGCUAACCACUGGAUACCACUGUAACUAACAGACAUUUCCAAGUCCAGGGGUGAAGCUCCAGCGCAACCUCAACUAAAUUUCCCCAAGACACUCCAGGAAGACUGAAACAGGAGCUUCAAGGGUGAGUGGUAUGCAGUCCACCCCUGGUUAGAAUACUCCAUAAGUGAAGACUCUACCUCUAACAAACAAAAAUGACAAUUAUGUAAAAUGAUUUACAUGGAUCUACACUCACACACGCACACGCACACGCACACGCACACACACACACAAACAAAGAGUGCCCCUUAUAGACCUGGUUUGUCAGUGCUCUGUUUUCAUUCAGCACCACAAUCUAUUUGAUGUAGUAAGCUAGUGAUAUUGUUCACUAUUUGUAGUGAUACUGUUCAAUGUACAUUGUACAUAUUGUUGAUAUUUUUUUUAUGUAUUAUGGGACAUGUGUGUGUGAUGUAAUGUUUUUGCUUUUCUUUCUCUUUAUAUAUACAUAUAUAAAUAUGUAUAUAUUAUCGCAAAUGAAUGGAAUAUUGCACUUAAAAUGCUACAGUUUACCUAAAUAAAUUAUCGCCUAAAAUGACAA